This 430-nucleotide unclassified non-coding RNA is filed under the name soil metagenome. RNAcentral's name for it is "partial contains 5.8S ribosomal RNA, internal transcribed spacer 2, and large subunit ribosomal RNA". The stretch from base 1 to 120 matches the Rfam family "5.8S ribosomal RNA", at positions 35 to 154 of the family's 154-position model. The record is from RNAcentral.
GAUGAAGAACGUAGCGAAAUGCGAUACGUAAUGUGAAUUGCAGAAUUCAGUGAAUCAUCGAAUCUUUGAACGCAUAUUGCGCUCUCUGGUAUUCCGGAGAGCAUGCUUGUUUGAGUAUCAGUAAACACCUCAACUCCCUUUUCUUUUUUGAAAUUGGAGCUGGACUUGAGUGAUCCCAACGCUUUCUUCCAAGAAAGUGGCGGGUUGCUUGAAAUGCAGGUGCAGCUGAACUUUUCUCUGAGCUAUAAGCAUAUCUAUUUAGUCUGCCUAAAAAACAGAUUAUUACCUUUGCUGCAGCUAACAUAGAGGAGACUAGUUCUUGUGCUGACUGAUGCAGGAUUCACAGAGACAGCUUCGGCUGACUUUGUAAACUCGAUCUCAAAUCAAGUAAGACUACCCGCUGAACUUAAGCAUAUCAAUAAGCGGAGGA